Molecule: ribosomal RNA, 478 nt
Filed under: uncultured bacterium
Lineage: Bacteria
Description: partial 16S ribosomal RNA
Rfam family: Bacterial small subunit ribosomal RNA
Source: RNAcentral
GACGAACGCUGGCGGCGUGCUUAACACAUGCAAGUCGAACGGUAAGGCCCUUCGGGGUACACGAGUGGCGAACGGGUGAGUAACACGUGGGUGAUCUGCCCUGCACUUCGGGAUAAGCCUGGGAAACUGGGUCUAAUACCGGAUAGGACUCCUGGCUUCAUGGUUGGGGGUGGAAAGCUUGUGCGGUGUGGGAUGGGCCCGCGGCCUGUCAGCUUGUUGGUGGGGUAAUGGCCUACCAAGGCGACGAGGGGUAGCCGGCCUGAGAGGGUGACCGGUCACACGGGGACGGCGCUACUGCCCAGACUCCUGCGGGAGGCAGCGGUGGGGAAUAUUGCACAGUGGGCGCAAGCCUGAUGCAGCGACGCCGCGUGAGGGAUGACGGACUUCGGGUUGUAAAGCUCUUUCAGCUAUGACGAAGCGCAAGUGACGGUAGUAGCAGAAGAAGGACCGGCCAACUACGUGCCAGCAGCCGCAGUAA